UUCAUAGGUCAUUCCUGAAUUUACGGACUCAGAAGAAGCUGCAACAUGCUCGAAUGGUGAAGCCACAACCUCAGAGCCCUGCACCCCGACGCCCAGGGUCCAUCGACACAAUCAAUGCUCCUGAAACCCAUGAACUCAGCACCCCAAGGGUCCAUUCUCGGGAAAGAGAACACACAUGGAGCACAACCAGCGAAUACCUGAACUUCAUGAGGGUGACCGAGGCCUCAUACCUGGAGACACUUGAGGCCCAGUGUCUUCUUCUUCUUCUUAGACCGUCGUUCUUAACUGACUUGCCUAGUUAAAGGUUAAAGGUCAAAUAAAAAUGUUUAAAUAA
Oncorhynchus gorbuscha (pink salmon) is the source of this 334-nucleotide long non-coding RNA. RefSeq lists it as uncharacterized. The record is from RefSeq and is a predicted model, not a curated record. The transcript is spliced from 2 exons. Lineage: Eukaryota; Metazoa; Chordata; Actinopteri; Salmoniformes; Salmonidae.